AAAUUAUUAUUAUUAUAAUCAUCAUUGUCGUUGUUGUUAUUACAUAUCACUCCAACCUGUAAACCCACGUUUCUUAUUUAAACUCCGAUUCACUUUAAAUAAAUUUAAAAAAAAAAAGAACAGAAAUUUUUAAUUAAAAAUUCAGUGUUAUUUUGUGAGCAAGUGAUGACAUUUUAUUAAUUAUAUAAAUAACUGCUAAUUGCCCUCCAAUUGUCACGUGACAGGUGAAAUUAAGUGAAAGUGUCUAAAAAUAAUAAAAAAGAGAAAUGGCGAGUAUAGAUCCUUUAAUUAGAGGCGAGAUUAAAGAUUGGAGGAAAAAUAUUAUCAAUCAGCUGAGAAACAGAAAUAAAUCUCAAACUCGCUGUUUUGCUGAUUUAAUUUAUUUGCACAACCGUUUAUUUGAGAGCACCAACACUCUAAGGGGUGAAAAUUUGCAACUGACAGUUGCAAUAGAGAAGCUAAAGUGUGAAGUUGUUGGCACCGGGACUGGAACUGGAGCAAAUGCAGCUCUGGAGGCGAGAUUAUUGGCACAAGCCGAGGAACUUACGAUGCUGCAUCGGAGACGGGGGGAACAUACUCAGCAGAUCGUCGAUUUGAAUAACAAGAUGCAGGAUAUGAUGAAGGACCUUCAGAGCAAGGAGUCCAGCUUAGCAGAAAGUCUGGAACUAAACGCAUCACUGAGAGCUGAAUUGAAUACAUGUGUAAAUAGAGAACGUGAGCUAGCAGAAGCAAAUCAGAUGCUGAGAGACGAAUACCAAGCGCUGCAAUUAGCUUUUGCUUCGCUGGAGGAAAAAUUACGUAAAGCUCAGGAGGAAAACCGACAAUUAGUCGAGAGAUUAAUAAAAUGCAAGACCAAAGACGCCGAAAAAAUGAACGAGGAAAACGACAAUUUUCUAAACGAGGGAUUUACCAGUCCGACGACAUUUUUCAUGCAAACACUAUCGAAAUUUGGAAAGCGACAAGCAAAAGUACAAAAGGACCUGGAGGAUGCAGCCCGGGAUACCAGAGCAAUAAGUCCAGAGCGGACUAGUGUCAAGGAGGGAAUCCCGGGACUGCCUACUGCAGUACCGACAGACGUAGCCGUUAAAUUUAGUGCUCAUGAUGGUGAAGUUAGUGCUGUUAAAUGGUCUCCAGUUGACAGGAUAUUGGCUACUGGUGGUGCUGAUAGAAAAGUUAAACUUUGGGAUAUUUCAAAAGGAACAUUCGAGAGCAAAGGAAUGUUAAUAGGAAGCAACGCUAGUGUAAUGUCAGUGGAUUUCGACUCGACAGGUACUUUAAUCCUCGGAGCGUCGAACGACUUCGCCAGCCGAGUUUGGUCGGUGAAUGAUCUGCGUCUGAGGCACACCUUAACAGGACACUGCGCUAAAGUCCUGGCAGCUAAAUUUCUAGGAGAGCCUUCCAAAGUGGUCACUGGCAGCCACGAUCGCACCCUAAAAAUUUGGGACCUUCGAAGCCGUGCUUGCAUUGAAACCAAAUUUGCCGGAUCGAGUUGCAACGACCUUGUCACCUCUGAUGGAGCUGGAUCCACCAUAAUCAGCGGUCACUUUGACAAGAGAAUCAGAUUUUGGGAUACCAGAGCCGAGUCUAGUUCCAAUGACAUCCUGUUGCAGGGAAAGGUCACGUCGCUUGAUUUAUCACGAGACGCCAAUUAUUUAUUGAGUUGCGUGCGAGACGAUACGGUCAAGCUCCUUGAUCUACGUAUGAAACAAAUUGUUGGAUCAUUCAGCGCGGACGGAUUCAAGGUGGGCUGCGACUGGGCGAGAGCUACCUUCAGCCCGGAUGGACAGUAUAUCGCGGUCGGAUCAGCUGAUGGGAGUGUUUUUAUUUGGAAUGUCAUCACCAACAAAAUUGAAACGAUACUCAGAGAUCAUACAAUUGCGGUGACAGCAGUAGCUUGGCAACCCCAUGGAACGUAUCUAGCAUCUGUGGACCGCGCUAAGAUGGCAACUGUUUGGGGCAACCAUGUCUGAUACGAAGCUUGUAGACAAGACAAAACUGAACAAACCGCCCUUUUAUUAUUGUUUUACUCUUCCAUUAUAUACAAUAGACUUAUUAUUAUUAUUAUUAUUAUUAUUAUCAUAACUAUUAUUACUCUACAAUUAUCUACAUAUAUAUAAAUAAAUAUAUAUA
Cotesia glomerata is the source of this 2130-nucleotide RNA transcript. It is a transcript of the gene named autophagy-related protein 16-1, with no coding region annotated. The transcript has 15 exons. The record is from RefSeq and is a predicted model, not a curated record. NCBI's taxonomy places the organism in Eukaryota, Metazoa, Arthropoda, Insecta, Hymenoptera, Braconidae.